RNAcentral lists this transfer RNA (74 nucleotides) under Amborella trichopoda. RNAcentral describes it as "tRNA-Met". It matches the Rfam family "tRNA". Rfam says of the family: Transfer RNA (tRNA) molecules are approximately 80 nucleotides in length. The record is from RNAcentral. Lineage: Eukaryota; Viridiplantae; Streptophyta; Magnoliopsida; Amborellales; Amborellaceae.
GGGGUGGUGGCACAAUUGGCUAGUGUGUAGGUCUCAUAAUCCUAAUGUCAAGAGUUCAAACCUCUCUCACCCGA